RNAcentral lists this ribosomal RNA (463 nucleotides) under uncultured bacterium. Its description in RNAcentral is "partial 16S ribosomal RNA". It matches the Rfam family "Bacterial small subunit ribosomal RNA", at positions 28 to 507 of the family's 1533-position model. The record is from RNAcentral.
GAUGAACGCUGACAGAAUGCUUAACACAUGCAAGUCGAUGGGGAAGUGGUGCUUGCACCCUGGCAACCAUGGCGGACGGGUGAGUAACGCGUAAGGGACUUACCUGCAGGACUGGGAUAACAGGGGGAAACUCCUGACAAGACCGGAUAAUGUCAUGGAGCUGCCUGGCUUUAUGAUGAAAGGAGACGCCUGCGGAGAGCCUUGCGUCCUAUUAGCUAGUUGGUGAGGUAAUGGCUCAACAAGGCGAAGAUAGGUAGCCGGCCUGAGAGGGUGGACGGCCACAAGGGGACUGAGAUACGGCCCUUACUCCUACGGGAGGCAGCAGUGGGGAAUAUUGGACAAUGGGGGCAACCCUGAUCCAGCAAUUCUGUGUGCACGAAGAAGGUUUUCGGAUUGUAAAGUGCUUGCAGCAGGGAAGAAGUAAGUGACGGUACCUGCAGAAGAAGCGACGGCUAAAUACGUG